GCGGAGGUGCCCGAGCCUGGUCAAAGGGGGCGGACUUAAGACCUCUAAGUAAGAGAUCCGCUGGCGUAGGCCUGCAUGGGUUCAAAUCCCACCCUCCGCA
Molecule: transfer RNA, 100 nt
Filed under: Sulfolobales archaeon HS-7
Lineage: Archaea; Thermoproteati; Thermoproteota; Thermoprotei; Sulfolobales
Rfam family: tRNA
About the family: Transfer RNA (tRNA) molecules are approximately 80 nucleotides in length.
Source: Rfam by way of RNAcentral